UUCUGGUCAUUAGUGUUGCAACGUGCAGUGAAGUAUCCAUCAACUCGUUCAAGUCGGUAGAAAGUGAGGUUGAAAACUUUUCAGCAUGAAAAAUGGCCGAAAACUGCUUCUAAAUCGCAUUAAUUUCACGUAAGUCCCCAAUUCCAAGCAUUGGGUCAGCCAUUUUUUCUGAGUAAUGGCUGCCAUGUCCUUGCUUCUCUAAAUGCUUGUAGAAGUCUAGUCUGAUCGAGUUUCAAAGAUGAUAAUCGACAGCCGAACAGGCAAUUAAACCAGCAAGUGUACGAUUGUAUUGUGGAAAGUCAGGUGAAGGAUAGACCAUGAAAAGGUAGAACACAAACGAGUUAUCAUCAUAUUGAUCUUGUUCUUUUACAGGAAGAGAUAUAGGGGUGAA
Long non-coding RNA from Anopheles arabiensis, 391 nucleotides. RefSeq lists it as uncharacterized. The transcript has 3 exons. NCBI's taxonomy places the organism in Eukaryota, Metazoa, Arthropoda, Insecta, Diptera, Culicidae. The record is from RefSeq and is a predicted model, not a curated record.